This 1004-nucleotide ribosomal RNA is filed under the name human metagenome. RNAcentral describes it as "bacterial LSU rRNA". It matches the Rfam family "Bacterial large subunit ribosomal RNA", at positions 1923 to 2925 of the family's 2925-position model. The record is from RNAcentral.
GUAAACGGCGGCCGUAACUAUAACGGUCCUAAGGUAGCGAAAUUCCUUGUCGGGUAAGUUCCGACCCGCACGAAAGGCGUAAUGAUUUGGGCACUGUCUCAACGAGAGACUCGGUGAAAUUUUAGUACCUGUGAAGAUGCAGGUUACCCGCGACAGGACGGAAAGACCCCAUGGAGCUUUACUGUAGUUUGAUAUUGAGUGUUUGUGUCACAUGUACAGGAUAGGUAGGAGCUGAAGAAUCCGGGACGCCAGUUUCGGAGGAGGCAACGGUGGGAUACUACCCUUGUGACAUGACCACUCUAACCCGCACCCCUUACCGGGGUGGGAGACAGUGUCAGACGGGCAGUUUGACUGGGGCGGUCGCCUCCUAAAAUGUAACGGAGGCGCCCAAAGGUUCCCUCAGAAUGGUUGGAAAUCAUUCGUAGAGUGUAAAGGCAGAAGGGAGCUUGACUGCGAGACCUACAAGUCGAGCAGGGACGAAAGUCGGGCUUAGUGAUCCGGUGGUACCGUAUGGAAGGGCCAUCGCUCAACGGAUAAAAGCUACCCUGGGGAUAACAGGCUUAUCUCCCCCAAGAGUUCACAUCGACGGGGAGGUUUGGCACCUCGAUGUCGGCUCAUCGCAUCCUGGGGCUGAAGUCGGUCCCAAGGGUUGGGCUGUUCGCCCAUUAAAGCGGUACGCGAGCUGGGUUCAGAACGUCGUGAGACAGUUCGGUCCCUAUCCGUCGCGGGCGUUGGAAAUUUGAGAGGAGCUGUCCUUAGUACGAGAGGACCGGGAUGGACACACCGCUGGUGUACCAGUUGUUCUGCCAAGAGCAUCGCUGGGUAGCUAUGUGUGGACGGGAUAAACGCUGAAAGCAUCUAAGCGUGAAGCCCCCCUCGAGAUGAGAUUUCCCAUCAUUUUAAAUGAGUAAGACCCCUGAGAGACGAUCAGGUAGAUAGGCUAGAAGUGGAAGUGCCGCGAGGCAUGGAGCGGACUAGUACUAAUCGGUCGAGGACUUAACCAC